GGGGUUGUAACUCAGUGGUAGAGUGUUCGGUUUACACGCGAAAAGCCCGGAGUUCAAUCCUCCGCAAUUCCA
Molecule: non-coding RNA, 72 nt
Organism: Daphnia pulex (common water flea)
Lineage: Eukaryota; Metazoa; Arthropoda; Branchiopoda; Diplostraca; Daphniidae
Source: Rfam